UGGGGAAUUUUCCGCAAUGGGUGAGAGCCUGACGGAGCAACGCCGCGUGAGGGAGGACGGCCUGUGGGUUGUAAACCUCUUUUCUCAGGGAAGAAGAUCUGACGGUACCUGAGGAAUCAGCAUCGGCUAACUCCGUGCCAGCAGCCGCGGUAAGACGGAGGAUGCAAGCGUUAUCCGGAAUUAUUGGGCGUAAAGCGUCCGUAGGUGGUUAGUCAAGUCUGCUGUUAAAGCCCACAGCUCAACUGUGGAUGGGCAGUGGAAACUGACUGACUUGAGUGUGGUAGGGGUAGAGGGAAUUCCUAGUGUAGCGGUGAAAUGCGUAGAUAUUAGGAAGAACACCAGUGGCGAAGGCGCUCUACUGGGCCACAACUGACACUGAUGGACGAAAGCUAGGGGAGCGAAAGGGAUUAGAUACCCCCGUAGUCC
RNAcentral lists this ribosomal RNA (426 nucleotides) under uncultured prokaryote. RNAcentral's name for it is "bacterial SSU rRNA". It matches the Rfam family "Bacterial small subunit ribosomal RNA", at positions 355 to 796 of the family's 1533-position model. The record is from RNAcentral.